GAAGGGUGCAAGCGUUACUCGGAAUUACUGGGCGUAAAGCGUGCGUAGGUGGUGAGUUAAGUCUGUCGUGAAAGCCCCGGGCUCAACCUGGGAAUGGCGAUGGAUACUGGCUCGCUAGAGUGCGGUAGAGGAGAGUGGAAUUCCCGGUGUAGCAGUGAAAUGCGUAGAGAUCGGGAGGAACAUCAGUUGCGAAGGCGGCUCUCUGGACCAGCACUGACACUGAGGCACGAAAGCGUGGGGAGCAAACAGGAUUAGAUACCCUGGUAGUCCACGCCCUAAACGAUGCGAACUGGACGUUGGGAGCAAUUAGGCUCUCAGUGUCGAAGCUAACGCGUUAAGUUCGCCGCCUGGGGAGUACGGUCGCAAGACUG
This 371-nucleotide ribosomal RNA is filed under the name uncultured bacterium. RNAcentral's name for it is "bacterial SSU rRNA". It matches the Rfam family "Bacterial small subunit ribosomal RNA", at positions 527 to 896 of the family's 1533-position model. The record is from RNAcentral.